Molecule: non-coding RNA, 205 nt
Organism: Pelobates cultripes (western spadefoot toad)
Lineage: Eukaryota; Metazoa; Chordata; Amphibia; Anura; Pelobatidae
Source: the annotation of a GenBank genome assembly
GUUCUAUGUUCAGAAAUCUGAGUCUGGCUGUGUUACAUGUAACCUCAGAUAUCUUGCAAUGCUCAUACUUAACUAUCCAGAGCAGCAUUAUCUCUUUCAAUGCAGGUGAAUGGUACCUAUCCCAGUGAAUAAAUGGCCCCUUUAUAUUGAUAGGUACAAUGGCUUAAAAAGGGACACUAAGCACCCAGACCACUUCAGCUCAUUG